Molecule: long non-coding RNA, 824 nt
Organism: Salarias fasciatus (jewelled blenny)
Lineage: Eukaryota; Metazoa; Chordata; Actinopteri; Blenniiformes; Blenniidae
Exons: 3
Source: RefSeq, a predicted model, not a curated record
UCUUUAUUAACUAUACGGUGUUCUCUCAACAGCUGAGACGUCAACUGCUGGAAAGACUUUUGGACAAAAUACAAUUGGCAUUUUCCACAACCCCACUGAAUUUGGACUCUAUAGAAUUUGUUUGUCGCCAGGAGCUGUAUCUUCUGCAGGCCCUAUCCAAUCACAUCCAAGCACUGCCAUUAUCCAGGCUUUGCAGGAACUUUUUCAACUUGUGAAAGCACAACUGGAACAUCCGGCCCCAAGUAUCACAGUGGAGAACACAGGCACCCAAGGACGGCCCAGAGUUUUGGUUGAUGAACAGCGUUUGAAGGAAGUGCUUGAUGUCCAGCUUCCUGUGCCUUGCAUAGCUUCACUGAUGGGUGUGUCAAGAAGGACAAUCUACAGACGAAUGAAAGAGAAUGAACUCUCCGUCAGGGAAAUGUACAGUCUCAUCACCGAUGAUGAACUUGACAAUUUGGUUUCUUCCAUCAAGAAUGAUUGACCAAAUGCAGGCGACAGGAUGGUAAAAGGCAGACUGGAGUCUCUGGGACACAGAGUUCAGUGGAGACGAGUUGCAGCCUGCGUGCACAGAGUUGAUUCCAUGGGCAUCAUCUCAAGGCUGUCAAGUCUUGGCUGUGUUGUACGCAGAGUGUCCACAUGCACCAGGGCCAUUGUCCCUGGUGCAUGUGGACACAAAUCACAAGUUGAUCAGAUACAACAUUGUCAUAUUUGGAGGAAUCGAUGGUUUUUCCAGAAAGAUACUGUACUUGAAUGCAGCAACAAACAACUGUGCUUCAACAGCAUUUCAGUUCUUCCUGGAGGCCACUCAGCAGCAUGGUUUACCC